ACCACGCGCGGGUUCAAUUCCCGUCGUUCGCCGCGGAUGUAGCCAAGUGGCUCAAGGCAGUGGAUUGUGAAUCC
RNAcentral lists this transfer RNA (74 nucleotides) under Anthurium andraeanum (oilcloth-flower). RNAcentral's name for it is "tRNA-His". The record is from RNAcentral. Lineage: Eukaryota; Viridiplantae; Streptophyta; Magnoliopsida; Alismatales; Araceae. RNAcentral also lists the same sequence under 1 other name.